CAGUCGCCGCGGUAAUACGUAGGUGGCAAGCGUUGUCCGGAAUUAUUGGGCGUAAAGGGCUCGCAGGCGGUUUCUUAAAUCUGAUGUGAAAGCCCCCGGCUCAACCGGGGAGGGUCAUUGGAAACUGGGAAACUUGAGUGCAGAAGAGGAGAGUGGAAUUCCACGUGUAGCGGUGAAAUGCGUAGAGAUGUGGAGGAACACCAGUGGCGAAGGCGACUCUCUGGUCUGUAACUGACGCUGAGGAGCGAAAGCGUGGGGAGCGAACAGGAUUAGAGACCCCAGUAGUCCCUGUCUCUUAUAC
Molecule: ribosomal RNA, 301 nt
Filed under: uncultured bacterium
Lineage: Bacteria
Description: partial 16S ribosomal RNA
Rfam family: Bacterial small subunit ribosomal RNA
Source: RNAcentral